RNAcentral lists this ribosomal RNA (301 nucleotides) under uncultured bacterium. RNAcentral's name for it is "partial 16S ribosomal RNA". It matches the Rfam family "Bacterial small subunit ribosomal RNA", at positions 509 to 807 of the family's 1533-position model. The record is from RNAcentral.
CAGUCGCCGCGGUAGUACGUAGGUGGCAAGCGUUGUCCGGAAUUAUUGGGCGUAAAGGGCUCGCAGGCGGUUUCUUAAGUCUGAUGUGAAAGCCCCCGGCUCAACCGGGGAGGGUCAUUGGAAACUGGGAAACUUGAGUGCAGAAGAGGAGAGUGGAAUUCCACGUGUAGCGGUGAAAUGCGUAGAGAUGUGGAGGAACACCAGUGGCGAAGGCGACUCUCUGGUCUGUAACUGACGCUGAGGAGCGAAAGCGUGGGGAGCGAACAGGAUUAGAUACCCCUGUAGUCCCUGUCUCUUAUAC